AUUGAACGCUGGCGGCAUGCCUUACACAUGCAAGUCGAACGGCAGCACGGGUGCUUGCACCUGGUGGCGAGUGGCGAACGGGUGAGUAAUAUAUCGGAACGUACCUUAUCGUGGGGGAUAACGCAGCGAAAGCUGCGCUAAUACCGCAUACGCCCUGAGGGGGAAAGCGGGGGACCGUAAGGCCUCGCGCGAUUAGAGCGGCCGAUAUCUGAUUAGCUUGUUGGUGGGGUAAAAGCCCACCAAGGCGACGAUCAGUAGCUGGUCUGAGAGGACGAUCAGCCACACUGGGACUGAGACACGGCCCAGACUCCUACGGGAGGCAGCAGUGGGGAAUUUUGGACAAUGGGGGCAACCCUGAUCCAGCAAUGCCGCGUGAGUGAAGAAGGCCUUCGGGUUGUAAAGCUCUUUUGUCAGGGAAGAAACAGCAGCUCUAACACAGUCUGCGAAUGACGG
RNAcentral lists this ribosomal RNA (453 nucleotides) under uncultured Burkholderiales bacterium. RNAcentral's name for it is "bacterial SSU rRNA". It matches the Rfam family "Bacterial small subunit ribosomal RNA", at positions 30 to 475 of the family's 1533-position model. The record is from RNAcentral. Lineage: Bacteria; Pseudomonadati; Pseudomonadota; Betaproteobacteria; Burkholderiales.